GAUGAACGCUGGCGGCGUGCCUAAUACAUGCAAGUCGAGCGACCGGACGAUAAGCUUGCGUCUUUGAUGUUAGCGGCGGACGGGUGAGUAACACGUGGAUAACCUACCUAUAUUACUGGGGUAACUUCGGGAAACCGGAGCUACUACCAGAUGAUAUUAUGAACCGCAUAGUUCAAAAGAUAAAGACGGUCUUGCUGUCACUUAUAGAUGGUUCCGCGCUGCAUUAGCUAGUUGGUAAGGUAACGGCUUACCAAGGCAACGAUGCAUAGCCGACCUGAGAGGGUGAUCGGCCACACUGGAACUGAGACACGGUCCAGACUCCUACGGGAGGCAGCAGUAGGGAAUAUUCCACAAUGGGCGAAAGCCUGAUGGAGCAAUGCCGCGUGAGUGAUGAAGGUCUUCGGAUCGUAAAGCCCUGUUAUUAGGGAAGAAAAGAUGUGUAUGAAACCGCGGACAUCCUGACGGUACCUAAUCAGAAAGCCACGGCUAACUUCGUG
Molecule: ribosomal RNA, 497 nt
Filed under: uncultured bacterium
Lineage: Bacteria
Description: partial 16S ribosomal RNA
Rfam family: Bacterial small subunit ribosomal RNA
Source: RNAcentral